CUAGUGAUGGCGACCGGCGCACGGGUGAGUAACACGUAUCCAACCUGCCGAUAACUCGGGGGAUAGCCUUUCGAAAGAAAGAUUAAUACCCGAUGGCAUAAUAGAACCGCAUGGUUUGAUUAUUAAAGAAUUUCGGUUAUCGAUGGGGAUGCGUUCCAUUAGGCAGUUGGUGGGGGUAACGGCCCACCAAACCUUCGAUGGAUAGGGGGUUCUGAGAGGAAGGUCCCCCACAUUGGAACUGAGACACGGUCCAGACUCCUACGGGAGGCAGCAUG
Molecule: ribosomal RNA, 275 nt
Filed under: uncultured bacterium
Lineage: Bacteria
Description: partial 16S ribosomal RNA
Rfam family: Bacterial small subunit ribosomal RNA
Source: RNAcentral